Molecule: long non-coding RNA, 462 nt
Organism: Chiroxiphia lanceolata (lance-tailed manakin)
Lineage: Eukaryota; Metazoa; Chordata; Aves; Passeriformes; Pipridae
Exons: 4
Source: RefSeq, a predicted model, not a curated record
CUUCUCCCUCACUUUCUCAGAAGAAAUGGAUGAUGAUUUAUCAGACCACUGCACAUUGAUCUAAAAAGUCCAGCUCUUCGUAGAAAGACGAGUCUCUUUUGUGUCUCAGCACCUUUGAUGAGCAGAAACUGCUGUGAACCAGCAAACUUCAGCAUCCAGUUGUAAUGAGGGAAAAAAUACUUACACUGUAGUAGAGUUAGGAUUUGCUUUUCUACAGAAGAGAUCUGCCUUCUCAUCCUCUUCUUCAUGUGAGUAGGAUCUGCAUGGCUCCAGAGCUGUAGCUUGUUCCAGGUCAUUCAGAAAAUGUAGCUCCAGCAGCAGAAGCUUCACAGAUGUCAGAUUCAAAGUAAGACAUAACAGGAUUAGCAGCAUCAACUUUACACAGAUGAAGAUUCCCUCUAGCAAAAGGUGUAUUCUCCAGGCGUCAAUCUGGCCAGUUAAGUUCAUUUUGUAUUGACUAAA